GUGAACGCUGGCGGUAGGCCUAACACAUGCCGGUCGAACGGCAGCACAGUAAGAGCUUGCUCUUACGGGUGGCGAGUGGCGGACGGGUGAGGAAUACAUCGGAAUCUACUUUUUCGUGGGGGAUAACGUAGGGAAACUUACGCUAAUACCGCAUACGACCUACGGGUGAAAGCAGGGGAUCUUCGGACCUUGCGCGAUUGAAUGAGCCGAUGUCGGAUUAGCUAGUUGGCGGGGUAAAGGCCCACCAAGGCGACGAUCCGUAGCUGGUCUGAGAGGAUGAUCAGCCACACUGGAACUGAGACACGGUCCAGACUCCUACGGGAGGCAGCAGUGGGGAAUAUUGGACAAUGGGCGCAAGCCUGAUCCAGCCAUACCGCGUGGGUGAAGAAGGCCUUCGGGUUGUAAAGCCCUUUUGUUGGGAAAGAAAAGCAGCAGGUUAAUACCCCGCUGUUCUGACGGUACCCAAAGAAUAAGCACCGGCUAACUUCGU
Molecule: ribosomal RNA, 490 nt
Filed under: uncultured bacterium
Lineage: Bacteria
Description: partial 16S ribosomal RNA
Rfam family: Bacterial small subunit ribosomal RNA
Source: RNAcentral